UACAGAGGGUGCGAGCGUUAAUCGGAAUUACUGGGCGUAAAGCGCGCGUAGGCGGCUUUGCAAGUCGGGUGUGAAAUCCCCAAGCUCAACUUGGGAACUGCAUUCGAGACUGCUUUGCUAGAGUAUGGGAGAGGGAAGUGGAAUUUCAGGUGUAGCGGUGAAAUGCGUAGAUAUCUGAAGGAACAUCAGUGGCGAAAGCGACUUCCUGGACCAAUACUGACGCUCAUGUGCGAAAGCGUGGGGAGCAAACAGG
RNAcentral lists this ribosomal RNA (253 nucleotides) under uncultured bacterium. RNAcentral's name for it is "partial 16S ribosomal RNA". It matches the Rfam family "Bacterial small subunit ribosomal RNA", at positions 524 to 776 of the family's 1533-position model. The record is from RNAcentral.